AGUGAACGCUGGCGGUAGGCCUAACACAUGCAAGCCGAACGGCAGCACAGUAAGAGCUUGCUCUUACGGGUGGCGAGUGGCGGACGGGUGAGGAAUACAUCGGAAUCUACUUUUUCGUGGGGGAUAACGUAGGGAAACUUACGCUAAUACCGCAUACGACCUACGGGUGAAAGCAGGGGAUCUUCGGACCUUGCGCGAUUGAAUGAGCCGAUGUCGGAUUAGCUAGUUGGCGGGGUAAAGGCCCACCAAGGCGACGAUCCGUAGCUGGUCUGAGAGGAUGAUCAGCCACACUGUAACUGAGACACGGUCCAGACUCCUACGGGAGGCAGCAGUGGGGAAUAUUGGACAAUGGGCGCAAGCCUGAUCCAGCCAUACCGCGUGGGUGAAGAAGGCCUUCGGGUUGUAAAGCCCUUUUGUUGGGAAAGAAAAGCAGCAGGUUAAUACCCCGCUGUUCUGACGGUACCCAAAGAAUAAGCACCGGCUAACUUCGUG
This 492-nucleotide ribosomal RNA is filed under the name uncultured bacterium. RNAcentral's name for it is "partial 16S ribosomal RNA". It matches the Rfam family "Bacterial small subunit ribosomal RNA", at positions 29 to 507 of the family's 1533-position model. The record is from RNAcentral.